UACGAAGGGGGCUAGCGUUACUCGGAUUGACUGGGCGUAAAGGGCGCGUAGGCGGUUCGUACAGUCAGACGUGAAAUUCCUGGGCUCAACCUGGGGGCUGCGUUUGAUACGUGCGGGCUUGAGUUCGGAAGAGGGUCGUGGAAUUCCCAGUGUAGAGGUGAAAUUCGUAGAUAUUGGGAAGAACACCGGUGGCGAAGGCGGCGACCUGGUCCGAUACUGACGCUGAGGCGCGAAAGCGUGGGGAGCAAACGGG
Molecule: ribosomal RNA, 253 nt
Filed under: uncultured bacterium
Lineage: Bacteria
Description: partial 16S ribosomal RNA
Rfam family: Bacterial small subunit ribosomal RNA
Source: RNAcentral